This 467-nucleotide ribosomal RNA is filed under the name uncultured bacterium. RNAcentral's name for it is "partial 16S ribosomal RNA". It matches the Rfam family "Bacterial small subunit ribosomal RNA", at positions 29 to 507 of the family's 1533-position model. The record is from RNAcentral.
ACGCACGCUGGCGGCGUGCUUAACACCUGCAAGUCGAACGGAAAGGCCCUGCUUUUGUGGGGUGCUCGAGUGGCGAACGGGUGAGUAACACGUGAGUAACCUGCCCUUGACUUUGGGAUAACUUCAGGAAACUGGGGCUAAUACCGGAUAGGAGCUCCUGCUGCAUGGUGGGGGUUGGAAAGUUUCGGCGGUUGGGGAUGGACUCGCGGCUUAUCAGCUUGUUGGUGGGGUAGUGGCUUACCAAGGCUUUGACGGGUAGCCGGCCUGAGAGGGUGACCGGCCACAUUGGGACUGAGAUACGGCCCAGACUCCUACGGGAGGCAGCAGUGGGGAAUAUUGCACAAUGGGCGGAAGCCUGAUGCAGCAACGCCGCGUGCGGGAUGGCGGCCUUCGGGUUGUAAACCGCUUUCGCCUGUGACGAAGCGUGAGUGACGGUAAUGGGUAAAGAAGCACCGGCUAACUACGUG